UAAAGAGUAUAAAGAAUGCAUGCUUAAUAGCUCACCCAUAAGUACCAGAUAAACUGAUUGGAUCCAGUGACACAGUUUAGCAGAGGGUUUUCCUUACGACCAGAUGAACGGCACAGGCUGUUUCUCUCUUACGGUUGAUGUGUUUGCUCUUCAAAUGUAGCAGUGAAAAACAAUGACGCAAGAGACGCGUCUCGUGAAUGUCACUCGGGAGGGAACAGAUACACACGGCCAACCCGUACCCGGUCGAGCCUCGGUGGAAGCGUGCCGUGAUCCGUUGGAAUCCAUUCUGCUUGGUGAUUUGAGCAGACCGUGCCUGACAAAGCGCAAAGACGAAUGCCACGGGCUGCGUCUCCGUUGCGGUUGACGCGUCAUUGUUUUUGAACGUCAGAUUUGAAGAGCGAACGCAGGAGACGCGUCUCGUGAAUGUUACUUGGCAGG
Non-coding RNA from Pimephales promelas (fathead minnow), 438 nucleotides. NCBI's taxonomy places the organism in Eukaryota, Metazoa, Chordata, Actinopteri, Cypriniformes, Leuciscidae. The record is from RefSeq and is a predicted model, not a curated record.